This 94-nucleotide transfer RNA is filed under the name Lentinula raphanica. Its description in RNAcentral is "tRNA-Gly". It matches the Rfam family "tRNA". Rfam says of the family: Transfer RNA (tRNA) molecules are approximately 80 nucleotides in length. The record is from RNAcentral. Lineage: Eukaryota; Fungi; Basidiomycota; Agaricomycetes; Agaricales; Omphalotaceae.
GCAUUAAUGGGGUAGUGGUAACCUGGGUCGUUGCCAUUCGUAAAGAAUCGAUAAAUCUUUCGACCCGCCGGGGGUUCGAUUCCCCCUUAAUGCA